RNAcentral lists this ribosomal RNA (1240 nucleotides) under Terebratulina retusa. Its description in RNAcentral is "16S ribosomal RNA". The stretch from base 804 to 1146 matches the Rfam family "Archaeal large subunit ribosomal RNA", at positions 2150 to 2716 of the family's 2987-position model. The record is from RNAcentral. Lineage: Eukaryota; Metazoa; Brachiopoda; Rhynchonellata; Terebratulida; Cancellothyrididae.
UCCAACUAAACCCACCCACAUAAAACUUAAAAUAUAAAGACCUCCACUCUAACCAACUUCCCCUGAAAAGAAAUUCCCAGAAAAAAAAGUAUCUUUUAACCAGAGUACCUUUUGUAUCAUGGUUCGGCCAGAAAAAAUCUCUCCAUAGAGGUCCCCCGAAACUCUCUGAGCUUACCACAACCAGAAAAGGUCCCACUCAAUCCUGUAGAAAUAUUAUGAGAAGAGUUGUGGUAAGAAGUGAAAUGCAUACCGCAGAGAAAAAUAGCUGGUUGUCAGAAAAAUCUGCCUAAUCAGAAGCUCAAGUCUGGGCUGAGGACUCGGGGGAUAACCCCCAAGUCCACCCUUAAGGCCCACCAUUAAACCCCAUAAAUAAGGCCUAAAAAUAGCCCCCUCUGUUUCAAGAAGAAGCCCUCCCUAAAACAAUAAAAAAUAACCCCUAAGAAUCCCACCUGACCCACAGGAAAAACCCUCCCCCUGAAAGAAAAUGCUGAAACAAGUAAUUAUCGAAAUAUUCUUCUACAAAGAUAAAAAUAAAAAAAGUAAAAAAAUAAAAAAAUUAGUUCAGAAGGAACUCGGCAAAAAAGUUUUCGCCUGUUUAACAAAAACAUCACUUUUCGACUUUCAUGAAAAGCCAAACCUGCCCAGUGCUUUUAAAGUAAACGGCCGCGGUAACCUGACCGUGCAAAGGUAGCAUAGUCAAUUGCCUAAUAAUUAUAGGCUAGAAUGAACGGUUCGACGAAAAACUCUCUGUCUCCUGAGCCAUAAAUUAAAACUAAUCUCAGGGUGAAAAAGCCCUGAUCCAAUCGAAGGACAAAAAGACCCUAUCGAGCUUAAGCCCAAAGUAUAAUUUAAAAUAGACAAUUAUAAAUCGGCUUUUGUUGGGGCAACAACAGGGAAAUUAAAAACCCCUGUAAUUUUAAGCUAAAUAAAGAAUAAAACCAGUUCUACUGAAUAUAAAAAAGCUACCGUAGGGAUAACAGCGUAAUUCCUUAAUAGAGACCCUAUCGAAUAAGGAGAUUGCGACCUCGAUGUUGGACUAGGAGCCCUCUUUAACGCAGAAGUUAAAGAAAGUUGGUCUGUUCGACCAUAAAAAUCCUACAUGAUCUGAGUUCAAACCGGCGUAAGCAGGUUGGUUUCUAUCCUCGACCCUAUUACCUGCCCGGCCAGUACGAAAGGACAGCACGGACAUAAACAAAAUUUAACCCAAAAGACUCCAUAUAAAAUACAAGUUUAAAUAAAC